UGUUAAAAAUAUCAUCCAUUUCUAUUAUUAAAAACUAGCAUGGCUAACAAAAUAACUAAAAAGUUACAUGUGGCGUACCACGUGUACCUUAUAUUGAUAUAUAAUUACAAAUUUUUAACAGUAAAAAUGAAUGAAAUUUUUAACA
This is a non-coding RNA of Gossypium arboreum, 145 nucleotides long. NCBI's taxonomy places the organism in Eukaryota, Viridiplantae, Streptophyta, Magnoliopsida, Malvales, Malvaceae. The record is from Rfam.